RNAcentral lists this ribosomal RNA (468 nucleotides) under uncultured bacterium. RNAcentral's name for it is "partial 16S ribosomal RNA". It matches the Rfam family "Bacterial small subunit ribosomal RNA", at positions 28 to 523 of the family's 1533-position model. The record is from RNAcentral.
GAUGAACGCUGGCGGCGUGCCUAACACAUGCAAGUCGAGCGAUUCUCUUCGGAGAAGAGCGGCGGACGGGUGAGUAACGCGUGGGUAACCUGCCCUGUACACACGGAUAACAUACCGAAAGGUAUGCUAAUACGGGAUAACAUGAGAGAGUCGCAUGGCUUUCUUAUCAAAGCUCCGGCGGUACAGGAUGGACCCGCGUCUGAUUAGCUAGUUGGUGAGGUAAUGGCUCACCAAGGCGACGAUCAGUAGCCGACCUGAGAGGGUGAUCGGCCACAUUGGAACUGAGACACGGUCCAAACUCCUACGGGAGGCAGCAGUGGGGAAUAUUGCACAAUGGGCGAAAGCCUGAUGCAGCAACGCCGCGUGAGCGAUGAAGGCCUUCGGGUCGUAAAGCUCUGUCCUCAAGGAAGAUAAUGACGGUACUUGAGGAAGAAGCCCCGGCUAACUACGUGCCAGCCGCCGCGGUAA